Molecule: long non-coding RNA, 694 nt
Organism: Bombina bombina (fire-bellied toad)
Lineage: Eukaryota; Metazoa; Chordata; Amphibia; Anura; Bombinatoridae
Exons: 2
Source: RefSeq, a predicted model, not a curated record
UGUCUUUUCAUAUGCAGGGAAGGGGGAUGGAUUGUCUGCUGUUCCUGUUUUCCCAGUCCUUUUCACUGGGUGUCCCAGCCUUACCUCAUCAAUAGUGCUAAACUGGGAUCUUCUAAACUCCUUCUAACUAAUCCCUGCUCCUAAACCUUUACAAAUAAAUGCUGGAUAUGACGGAGUAAAUAUUACAAUUAUGCGACAACAAAGUAUGCACGUUUUGUUUUAGAAAGACAGCUUUGUGAUACUCAAUGUGCUGGGAAUGAAACGUUGUUAUCGCACUUCUAUAUCUUGUUAUCAUUUUAAAGAUUAAACACUUCAGUAUUGCAAUAUAAAAUAUUUAAUUAUUUGCUGUAAAAAAAACUUUGCAAUAUACUUGUCAUAAUUUAUCUUGUUCUGAUUCAUGGACAAUGCCUGAUAAAAGUGCAGACACAAUCACUGGUUCUAGUGACCCAUUUAUAACUGCUCCUAUGUGGCUUUAUCAGAGAUGGAAACUAGGUUACAACAUGGCUGCACCAUUUGCUUUAUUGACAUUAAAACUUUACUCUUACAUUUAGCUAUUUUAAUAUUGGGAAAAAAACAUUCUUAGCUUUCAAUACAUCUUUUAUUGUUAGCUGCUUCUCAGUUCAAUACUUUUUCUUAUUUAAAAUGUAUUGCAUUUUACAUUAUUGUGAAUGAAAUAAAAAUGUUUUUCUUUGCA